Molecule: ribosomal RNA, 870 nt
Filed under: uncultured bacterium
Lineage: Bacteria
Description: bacterial SSU rRNA
Rfam family: Bacterial small subunit ribosomal RNA
Source: RNAcentral
AGAGUUUGAUCCUGGCUCAGAACGAACGCUGGCGGCGUGCCUAACACAUGCAAGUCGAACGAGAAAGGUGCCUUCGGGGGCCCGGUACAGUGGCGCACGGGUGAGUAACACGUGGGUAAUCUGCCCUCGAGUGGGGAAUAACCCAGGGAAACUUGGGCUAAUACCGCAUAACAUCCCGACCUUGCAGGAGGAUGGGAUCAAAGCCGGGGAUCGCAAGACCUGGCGCUUGAGGAGGAGCCCGCGCCUGAUUAGCUUGUUGGUGAGGUAAUGGCUCACCAAGGCAACGAUCAGUAGCCGGCCUGAGAGGGUGAUCGGCCACACUGGAACUGAGACACGGUCCAGACUCCUACGGGAGGCAGCAGUGAGGAAUUUUGCGCAAUGGGCGAAAGCCUGACGCAGCAACGCCGCGUGGAUGAUGAAGGCCUUCGGGUCGUAAAAUCCUGUCAAGUGGGAAGAAACCCGGUCGGUGAAUAGCCGGUCGGGUUGACUGUACCACUGAAGGAAGCCCCGGCUAACUCCGUGCCAGCAGCCGCGGUAAUACGGAGGGGCUAGCGUUGUUCGGAAUUAUUGGGCGUAAAGGGCGCGUAGCGGCCACGUAAGUCGGGCGUGAAAUCCCUUGUCUCAACCAAGAAACUGCGUCCGAAACUGCGUGGCUCGAGUCCGGAGAGUUAGCGAUUCCCAGUGUAGCGUGAAAUGCGUAGAUAUUGGAGGAACACGGCGCGAAGCGGCUACCUGACCGGUACUGACGCUGAGGCGCGAAAGCUAGGGAGCAAACAGUAUUAGCAUACCCUGUAGUCCUAGCUGUAACGAUGAGCACUUGGUGGAGCGGGUAUUGAACCCCUGCUUGGCCGAGCUAACGCAUUAAGUGCU